This 245-nucleotide ribosomal RNA is filed under the name uncultured bacterium. RNAcentral's name for it is "partial 16S ribosomal RNA". It matches the Rfam family "Bacterial small subunit ribosomal RNA", at positions 524 to 768 of the family's 1533-position model. The record is from RNAcentral.
UACGUACGAGGCGAGCGUUAUCCGGAAUUACUGGGCGUAAAGCGCGCGCAGGUGGUCCGGUAAGUGAGACGUGAAAUCUCCCGGCCUAACUGGGAGGGGUCGUCUCAUACUGCCGGACUUGAGGACUGCAGAGGUGGGUGGAAUUCCUGGUGUAGUGGUGAAAUGCGUAGAGAUCAGGAGGAACACCGGUGGCGAAGGCAGCCCACUGGGCAGUCUCUGACGCUGAGGCGCGAAAGCUCGGGGAG